UCCGGUUUGUCACCGGCAGUCUCCCUAGAGUUCUCAGCCGAACUGCUAGCAACUAGGGAUAGGGGUUGCGCUCGUUACGGGACUUAACCCAACAUCUCACGACACGAGCUGACGACGGCCAUGCAGCACCUGUCUUACAGUUCCCGAAGGCACCAAUCCAUCUCUGGAAAGUUCUGUAGAUGUCAAGGCCAGGUAAGGUUCUUCGGUUUAGUAAAGUCCAGUUUUUGGCCUUAUCUUGCAGGUGACGACGACGUCGAGUUGGCGGCGGAGAAAGACUCGGCAUUCAGGUGAGCCGCCCGGUGGUGUGGUACGUAGUGGGUUUAGUACGCCCCGCCAAAACGGCUCCGAAACAAACGAAAAGGUGCAUGCCGCACUCAC
RNAcentral lists this unclassified non-coding RNA (378 nucleotides) under uncultured Alteromonadales bacterium. Its description in RNAcentral is "contains 16S-23S intergenic spacer region". Lineage: Bacteria; Pseudomonadati; Pseudomonadota; Gammaproteobacteria; Alteromonadales. The record is from RNAcentral.